Long non-coding RNA from Pieris napi, 1041 nucleotides. RefSeq lists it as uncharacterized. The transcript has 3 exons. Lineage: Eukaryota; Metazoa; Arthropoda; Insecta; Lepidoptera; Pieridae. The record is from RefSeq and is a predicted model, not a curated record.
UAGGAGAGGUGGCACCAAUUUUUGGGCAGGUAUUUGAGGCAAGCUGAAAACUUGUCACAUACCUCUCCUAUUAUAUUCCAACACGGAAUUGCAGACCUGGCUGGUGAGUAGCGGGGCUAAAUCAACCCCUACAUUUUUGAAAAUAUUAUUUUUUUUUUCCCAAAAAUAUAUUUGAGGCAAUACGCAAUUUAUAUAUGUUGCAGUGUAAUACUUAAUAAAUACGAAAAAAAAUAAGCCAGACAAUUUAAUCGGGGCUUUAACAUUACCAGACGCGUGCAAAUAUUUUUUAAAAAAAUUAUAAAAAAUGUUUUUGAGGCAGCUUGAAAUUUUAAUGGAGUGUUAUUUAUAACUAUAAAAUAAAAUUCCCAAAAAGACAGAUCAUUUCGGUAGGGCUUUCUACCUGCCAGGCGAUCAAACAAAUAAUGGAUGGGUACGGGCCUGUACUACUAUAGACAAGCUGUAGUGUGAGAGAGAGCGCAUAUCGACAGCUGUCUUCGUUCUGGCUUGCCGCGUUACUAUUGGCUCUAGUGAGGCCACGUGACUUACAAUAACCCAUGAGGUUUUUAGUUAGAAUUUCGGAGUCGUUACUUUCAGUCGUAUUAUUCUACUAAUGCAUUUACAGCUCUUCUUUCUUCUGAAUUAAAACAACAUCUUUUAAGAACGCAAUAUAUAACAAGCAUUUGGAGAAAUGCAUAUUUACGAUUCCCCAGUUCUUUGACACCUAAUAGAAACGGAUGGACACUUAAUGAGGAUACGCUAGAUUUUCACUGGUCUGACGGAGAGUGUAUGCCGCAAUUAGUAUUCGACGCUGUUGUUCACGAGGAAAAUAAAAAUAACGAUGAUGAAAAUCAUACUACAGAUGAUGAAGAGGUUGCCGAAUCUGAUACAGAUGAAUCCGAAGAUUCAAGUAGUUCUGAUGAAGAUUCUGAUCCACAGACGAAAAAUGAUAAUUUAUCUGACGUGAAACGAAUUUAAUUUAUUUCUAAUUUUUUUAUACUUAAAUAAUUGAAACACUGAAGAAAUAUUAUAUUUUUUUAAAUC